GCUCAGGACGAACGCUGGCGGCGUGCUUAACACAUGCAAGUCGAACGGGGUGUUUAUUUCGGUAAACACCAAGUGGCGAACGGGUGAGUAACGCGUAAGCAAUCUACCUUCAAGAUGGGGACAACACUUCGAAAGGGGUGCUAAUACCGAAUGAAUGUAAGAGUAUCGCAUGAGACACUUACUAAAGGAGGCCUCUGACAUAAGCUUCCGCUUGAAGAUGAGCUUGCGUCUGAUUAGCUAGUUGGUGAGGGUAAAGGCCCACCAAGGCGACGAUCAGUAGCCGGUCUGAGAGGAUGAACGGCCACAUUGGGACUGAGACACGGCCCAGACUCCUACGGGAGGCAGCAGU
Molecule: ribosomal RNA, 349 nt
Filed under: uncultured bacterium
Lineage: Bacteria
Description: bacterial SSU rRNA
Rfam family: Bacterial small subunit ribosomal RNA
Source: RNAcentral